GGUGGGAGAUGAAAGGUGUCCAACCUGACAUACCAUGUUGAGUAUUGUGACCCUUGUUUCCCCACCGAGCCCCCUCGGCAGGUGAUGAAAGGUGUCCAACCUGACAUACCAUGUUGAGUAUUGUGAUCCUUGUUUCCCCACCGAGCCCCCUCGGCAGGUGAUGAAAGGUGUCCAAUAUUACAUGUCAUGACUUGAGUUGAUGACGUGGUCAUGUGGGCACUUGGUGUCAUGGAACUUGAUGUCACGACUACCGUAUUGUUGCACUAUGAAGGAUCAGAGAAGGUUUUUACAUAAUUUAGGAACUGUCUUUAUGCAAGGAUUACCAGGAGGAAUAAACAAAACAGUAACAUA
Haliotis rubra (blacklip abalone) is the source of this 351-nucleotide long non-coding RNA. RefSeq lists it as uncharacterized. The record is from RefSeq and is a predicted model, not a curated record. The transcript is spliced from 2 exons. NCBI's taxonomy places the organism in Eukaryota, Metazoa, Mollusca, Gastropoda, Lepetellida, Haliotidae.